CGGAGCCCUGCUCCUCCCCGCACAGCAGGUUUACAUGGAACCUGGAAGAGGGGGAUGGUGGCCGUCAGGGCUCAGAAACCACCCAGACCAAGAAAUGUUGAGGGGCCUGGGGCCUCACCUGCUGGCAUUGGGAGGAACCAAGCCGCGAAUUCUCAGCACCGUGCCAGGGCGGAUGCCCUCGGGCAGUGAGGACUUGUGGGGGACGUUCUGCAAGAGUGGGGUGCAGGGGCCACUGUGAGCCGGUGAGACCGAAGGAGGGAGGCAGAAGACAUGUUGGGUCCUGAGAAGCCAAGCCCAGCGGGAACUCUAGACCCUUCUCUCCAGCUGAGAACCUCCUGCCUAGACUGGAAAUGUCUGCGCUGAAAUCCCUGCUUCUAAGUCUCCAGUGGAACAGCAGCCACAACAACGACGAUAGUGCCAGACAGGGGGACUUCACAGGGUCGGAGGGCGGCCUGGUUGGCUCAGUGCUGCACCCCUGGGUCCUGGAGUGUGCCGGGUUCAUGGGAAGUCCUCAGUCAGGAGGGGUGAAAGGAGGGGAUCCACUAGGACUACGCUUGUCAUUUCCCAGGCCCUUGGGCUGCCCAGGAUAUGCAGGAAAUCACUGAUUGGGACCCCACCAUUCCAACAGAGAGAAGCAUGGGUCACCCCCAUUGUACAGAGAAGGAGGCUGAGGCUGGGAUGGGAAGUGAUUUUCCACAAGCCGGGCAGGACCCAUUGCCCCAACCUCUGCCUUUCCUCACCUCUGGGCGUGCCUCUCCUGUGGGUUCUGUCUCUGGGGCUGGCUGUCUGGCUCUGUUUGUCUCUGUCUAUAACUGUCUACCGCGUAUUCCUGUCCCACUUCUCUCCUUCAAGUCUCUCUUGUUCCUCCUUCCAGGACUGUUACCAUCUUCCCACCAAUUUUGCAGGUCAGGAUGAGGUGGGUUUUAGGGUGGUGGGUGGCCUAGCAUUCCAUCACCACCUAGAUCAAAAGCAGAGCAAGGUGGGGACCCUCCCGCCAGCCCCAAUAUAGCCCGCUUGGGCCCAAGACUCUAGAAGAGAAUCCAGGGUUGGGGAAGUAGACUGGGGGAGGCGGGGGGGGGGGGGGGGGCGGGCAGGACUGAAAUCUGUUUCUGAAAGGCAGGGAUGGUGUGGGAGCUGAACAGAAACCACUCCUGGCUGGGCAUGGUAGCUCACGCCUGUAAUCCCAGCACUUUGGGAGGCCAAGGUAGGUGGAUCACUUGAGGUCAGGAGUUCAAGACCAGCCUGGCCAACAUGGUGAAACCCCUUCUCUAUAGAAAAUACAAAAAAUUGGCCAGGUGUGGUGGUGGACACCUGUAAUCCCAGCUACCUGGGAGGCUGAGGCAGGAGAAUUGCUUGAGCUGGGGAGGCGGACGUUGUAGUGAGCCGAGAUCACACCACUGCACUGCAGCCUGGGCGACAGAGCUAGACUCUGUCUCAAAAAAUAAAAAUAAAGCCUGUAAUCCCAGCACUUUGGGAGGCCGACGCGGGUGG
This 1491-nucleotide long non-coding RNA is filed under the name Homo sapiens (human). RNAcentral describes it as "HSALNT0259630". Lineage: Eukaryota; Metazoa; Chordata; Mammalia; Primates; Hominidae. The record is from RNAcentral.